RNAcentral lists this ribosomal RNA (793 nucleotides) under uncultured bacterium. RNAcentral describes it as "bacterial SSU rRNA". It matches the Rfam family "Bacterial small subunit ribosomal RNA", at positions 8 to 779 of the family's 1533-position model. The record is from RNAcentral.
AGAGUUUGAUCCUGGCUCAGAAUCAACGCUGGCGGCGUGCCUAACACAUGCAAGUCGAACGCGAAAGCCCCGCAAGGGGUAAGUAGAGUGGCAAACGGGUGAGUAACACGUGGGUGACCUGCCUUCGAGUGGGGGAUAACGUCCCGAAAGGGACGCUAAUACCGCAUGACAUCCUGCCUUUGGAAAGGCGGAGAUCAAAGCUGGGGAUCGCAAGACCUGGCGCUUGAAGAGGGGCCCGCGCCUGAUUAGCUAGUUGGUAGGGUAACGGCCUACCAAGGCAACGAUCAGUAUCCGGCCUGAGAGGGCGGACGGACACACUGGGACUGAGACACGGCCCAGACUCCUACGGGAGGCAGCAGUGGGGAAUUGUUCGCAAUGGGCGCAAGCCUGACGACGCAACGCCGCGUGGAGGACGAAGAUCUUCGGGUCGUAAACUCCUGUCGAGCGGGAAGAACAUCUUUCCAAUGAAUAAGUGGAAGGACUGACGGUACCGCUAAAGGAAGCCCCGGCUAACUCCGUGCCAGCAGCCGCGGUAAUACGGGGGGGGCAAGCGUUGUUCGGAAUUACUGGGCGUAAAGGGCUCGUAGGCGGCCAACUAAGUCGGAUGUGAAAUCCCCAGGCUCAACCUGGGAACUGCAUCCGAUGCUGGAUGGCUUGAAUUCGGGAGAGGGAUGCAGAAUUCCAGGUGUAGCGGUGAAAUGCGUAUAUAUCUGGAGGAAUACCGGUGGUGAAGGCGGCAUCCUGGACCGACUUGACGCUGAUGAGCGAAAGCUAAGGGGAAUCAAACGGGGAU